CCGCGUGAGGGAUGACGGCCUUCGGGUUGUAAACCUCUUUCAGCGGGGACGAAGCGAAAGUGACGGUACCUGCAGAAGAAGCACCGGCCAACUACGUGC
Molecule: ribosomal RNA, 99 nt
Filed under: uncultured bacterium
Lineage: Bacteria
Description: partial 16S ribosomal RNA
Rfam family: Bacterial small subunit ribosomal RNA
Source: RNAcentral